This 400-nucleotide ribosomal RNA is filed under the name uncultured bacterium. RNAcentral describes it as "bacterial SSU rRNA". It matches the Rfam family "Bacterial small subunit ribosomal RNA", at positions 355 to 772 of the family's 1533-position model. The record is from RNAcentral.
UGGGGAAUAUUGGACAAUGGGCGCAAGCCUGAUCCAGCCAUGCCGCGUGAGUGAUGAAGGCCUUAGGGUUGUAAAGCUCUUUUGUCCGGGACGAUAAUGACGGUACCGGAAGAAUAAGCCCCGGCUAACUUCGUGCCAGCAGCCGCGGUAAUACGAAGGGGGCUAGCGUUGCUCGGAAUCACUGGGCGUAAAGGGCGCGUAGGCGGCCGAUUAAGUCGGGGGUGAAAGCCUGUGGCUCAACCACAGAAUUGCCUUCGAUACUGGUUGGCUUGAGACCGGAAGAGGACAGCGGAACUGCGAGUGUAGAGGUGAAAUUCGUAGAUAUUCGCAAGAACACCAGUGGCGAAGGCGGCUGUCUGGUCCGGUUCUGACGCUGAGGCGCGAAAGCGUGGGGAGCAAA